Molecule: ribosomal RNA, 1946 nt
Filed under: human gut metagenome
Description: bacterial LSU rRNA
Rfam family: Bacterial large subunit ribosomal RNA
Source: RNAcentral
UUAAGUUAGAAAGAGCGCAGGGUGGAUGCCUUGGCACUGAGAGCCGAAGAAAGACGUGAUAAGCUGCGAAAAGCUGCGGUAAGGAGCAAAUAUCCGAUGACCCGCAGAUAUCUGAAUGGGGAAACCCGGCUGAGUAAACCACAGUCACCGUAUACUGAAUACAUAGGUAUACGGAGGGAACCCGCUGAACUGAAACAUCUAAGUAGGCGGAGGAAGAGAAAGAAACAUCGAUUCCGUAAGUAGCGGCGAGCGAACGCGGAAGAGCCCAAACCGUUGUGCGUGCACGACGGGGUAUGGACUGCGAUAUGGCAGUGUGGAAGAUAGUAGAAGGGUCUGGGAAGUCCCGCCAGAGAGAGUGAAAGCCUCGUACAUGAAAUCAGAAACACGCCUAGCAGGAUCCGGAGUACCACGAGACACGAGAAACCUUGUGGGAAGGCGGAGGGACCACCCUCCAAGGCUAAAUACUACUCAGUGACCGAUAGCGCAUAGUACUGUGAAGGAAAGGUGAAAAGGACCCCGGGAGGGGAGUGAAAGAGAACCUGAAACCCUGUGUUUACAAGCUGUCGAAGCACGCAAGUGCGACGGCGUACUUUUUGUAGAACGGUCCGGCGAGUUAUGAUGAGUGGUAAGGUUAAGGACUUAAGGUCCGGAGCCGAAGCGAAAGCGAGUGUUAAAAGCACGGUUGAAUCGCUUAUCAUAGACCCGAAACCGGGUGAUCUAUCCAUGUCCAGGUUGAAGCUGCCGUAAGAGGUAGUGGAGGACCGAACACACAUCCGUUGAAAAGGGUGGUGAUGAGGUGUGGAUAGGGGAGAAAUUCCAAUCGAACCCGGAGAUAGCUGGUUCUCCUCGAAAUAGCUUUAGGGCUAGCCUCUGGUUAGUCUGCCGCAGGUAGAGCACUGAAUUUCCUAGGGGGCGUCAAAGCCUACCGAAGAAUAUCAAACUGCGAAUGGCGGACAGAUGAUGCCAGGGAGUCAGACUGCACGAGAUAAGUUGGGUGGUCAAAAGGGAAAGAGCCCAGACCUACAGCUAAGGUCCCAAAGUGUGUGUUAAGUGGAAAAGGAUGUGGGAUUUCGAAGACAACUAGGAUGUUGGCUCAGAAGCAGCCACACAUUAAAAGAGUGCGUAAUAGCUCACUAGUCGAGAGGUCCUGCGCCGAAAAUGUCCGGGGCUAAAACACAACACCGAAGCUUAGGAAUUCUAAUGAAUUGGUAGAGGAGCAUUGAAGACGGAACGAAGCCAUACCGAAAGGAAUGGUGGACUGUCUUGAAGAGAGAAUGCCGGAAUGAGUAGCGAGAUUGAAGUGAGAAUCUUCAAGGCCGAAUAUCUAAGGUUUCCAGGGUAAAGCUGAUCUGCCCUGGGUAAGUCGGGGCCUAAGGCAAGGUCGAAAGACGUAGUCGAUGGAUAACAGGUUGAAAUUCCUGUACUGCAUCAAAUCAGAAAUGUGGGGACACAUGAGGGAAGCAUGAGCCGGAAAAGGAAAGUCCGGUACAAGCGCAGCAGAGGACAGAUAGGCAAAUCCGUCUGUCAACUCAAGGGCGUGAUGUGGAGCGAACCAAAGUAGCGAAGCAUGUGGAGCUUGUGUCGAGAAAAGCCGCUAUAGUGUUUGAUGUACCCGUACCGUAAACCGACACAGGUGGAUGAGGAGAGAAUCCUAAGGCCGGCGGGAGAAGCAUUGUUAAGGAACUCGGCAAAAUGACCCCGUAACUUCGGGAGAAGGGGUGCUCCAGAGAUGGAGCCGCAGAGAACUGGCCCAAGCAACUGUUUAGCAAAAACACAGGUCUAUGCAAAACCGAAAGGUGAGGUAUAUGGGCUGACGCCUGCCCGGUGCUGGAAGGUUAAGAGGAGAUGUUAGCCGCAAGGUGAAGCAUUGAAUUUAAGCCCCAGUAAACGGCGGCCGUAACUAUAACGGUCCUAAGGUAGCGAAAUUCCUUGUCGGGUAAGUUCCG